Long non-coding RNA from Aphis gossypii (cotton aphid), 1515 nucleotides. RefSeq lists it as uncharacterized. The transcript has 2 exons. The record is from RefSeq and is a predicted model, not a curated record. NCBI's taxonomy places the organism in Eukaryota, Metazoa, Arthropoda, Insecta, Hemiptera, Aphididae.
AUCCCAUGCAGUCGUCAUUUUUUAAAACAGAAUGUUCUUUUUAUAGCCAUUUUCAAUUAUUUAUUAAUUUGAUGCGUAAAACCAACAAGAUUAUUUAUUCGACUACUGGAUUGACCUAAAAUUUAUUAAAUUUACUUUUCCUUCUCCUUCUAUGAUUAGGUAACAGAAUUAUAUGAACAUUUUUGAGAUAUUAUCCAAAUAAUGCUAAACAUUAUUUAUUUAUUAAAACCAAUAACUUUUAAAUGUCAAGAGUUUUUGUUCGACGAUAUUGUUCGCAAACCAUUAGUUUAUCGAACUAUGGUACCUACCUACCAACCACAACCACUUAAAGGGUCAUAAAAAGACGUGCAUUUGAAAUAAAUAUCAUCUUUAUUGGUACGGUAGUCGUAAAUUAUAUUGAAAUGGCGUUAUAUGGAUUUUAUGAAUUCGUAUCAGACGAAAUGUUAUAACUCGUAACUAUACAAGUUUAUUUUUAUUUUUUAAUAUAAUAUAAACAAAACUAUUAAUCAAAUAAACCUUAAAACAUUUCAAAUCAUAGCGUUGGUUUUAAAUAUUAUUUACAGUGCACAUCUAAUUUUUUUUAUUUUCUAUAAAAUAUUACACUGUUAAUAAUAAGGCUGGUAAUUAUUUUAUCGUAAAAAAAUCAAUAAAAAAAAAAAAAAAAAAAAAAUGAAAUAAUUUUUAAAAAAAAUCUGAACGGUGAAUAUCAUACCGCUUGAAUGAAACCACACGCCCCUACCUCUCCAAACUUUUCACACACUAGAUGGACACUUGAAUAUUAUUAUUAUUUUUUUUUUUUUUUUUUGUCACCGUCAUAGUCACCUGCUGGCUGCUAUCAAUCUCGGGAUUUUAUAAUAAUUGGACCCAAUAACGAAAACCACAUCACGCACACUCAUGUUAUCAUCGUAUUACUAUAACGGCGCUGGCGCACGUCCAGAACCCUAUGGUAAUUAUAGACAUGGCGUGACGCGCACACGCACACACACAAAUGAGAUGUAUACGCUAUACAUUAAAUUUACACACACACACAUAUACAUUAUACAUGAUAAUAAUAUGCACGUCCACAUUCGGUGUCCCGCAACGACGUUCGCGCACAUCAACGCAUACGGCUCUCGUUAUUUUUCGCUCGCGAAUAACUACGUAUAAUAUUACAAUAACGUCUUAAUUGUUGUUGUUGUUGUUGUUAUUGUCGUCGUGUCCAGCUCUGCCUAGCCGACGAACUUCAAAACUUGUGCCACUCCGACUCGGGACAAAAAAUGGAGGCGCUGCUGGAAGAGAGGAUACAACUAUUGCAGGAGCGCAUGAAAGCGAUCACUGCGCAGCGAGAACAAAUAGAAGCAGCAAACCGAGGGCUCGAAGAAGAGCUCAACAAACUCAGUAAGAAUUUCGUGAAAAUUACAAACAAUGUUAAAGUUACGGAUGAAACAGAAGAAGAAAAAACGGAUUAAUCAGUUCCUUGAUGUAUUCAAUUAUAUUAAUUGAACUAUAACAAUAAUUAUUUAAAACUACUUUGAA